CGCACAUUGCGCCCUUUGGUAUUCCGAAGGGCAUACCUGUUCGAGCGUCAUUUGAACCCCUCAAGCUCAGCUUGGUUUUGGGCGCCUUGUCUACUAUAGACUCGCCUUAAAAGCAUCGGCGCUAUCCUGCCUAUUUAGGACACAGUACAUUGUUGCCCCUUAUAGUAGCAGUUUAGUAGCGAAUUCAUUAUUUUCUUUAGUUUGACCUCGGAUCAGGUAGGGAUACCCGCUGAACUUAA
This 239-nucleotide unclassified non-coding RNA is filed under the name Dothideomycetes sp. RNAcentral describes it as "partial contains 5.8S ribosomal RNA, internal transcribed spacer 2, and large subunit ribosomal RNA". The record is from RNAcentral. Lineage: Eukaryota; Fungi; Ascomycota; Dothideomycetes.